GAUGAACGCUGGCGGCGUGCCUAACACAUGCAAGUCGAACGGAGAUUACGGACGGAAGUUUUCGGAUGGAAGACUGUAAUUCUUAGUGGCGGACGGGUGAGUAACGCGUGGGCAACCUGCCCUAUACAGGGGGAUAGCAGCUGGAAACGGCUGGUAAGACCGCAUAAGUCGGUUAAAUCGCAUGAUUUGAUCGGGAAAUGAGCAAUCAGGUAUAGGAUGGGCCCGCGUCCGAUUAGCCAGUUGGCAGGGUAAAAGCCUACCAAAGCGACGAUCGGUAGCCGGACUGAGAGGUCGGACGGCCACAUUGGGACUGAGACACGGCCCAAACUCCUACGGGAGGCAGCAGUGGGGGAUAUUGCACAAUGGAGGAAACUCUGAUGCAGCGACGCCGCGUGAGUGAAGAAGUAUUUCGGUGUGUAAAGCUCUAUCAGCAGGGAAGAUGAUGACGGUACCUGACUAAGAAGCCCCGGCUAACUACGUG
RNAcentral lists this ribosomal RNA (481 nucleotides) under uncultured bacterium. RNAcentral's name for it is "partial 16S ribosomal RNA". It matches the Rfam family "Bacterial small subunit ribosomal RNA", at positions 28 to 507 of the family's 1533-position model. The record is from RNAcentral.